UACAGAGGAGCCAAGCGUUGUCCGGAUUGACUGGGCGUAAAGCGCACGCAGGCGGAUGCGCGCGUGGGUUGUGAAAUCUGGCCGCUUAACGGCCAGGCGCCAUCCCAUACGGCGCGUCUGGAGUGAUGCAGAGGUCGAUGGAAUUGCCGGUGUAGUGGUGAAAUGCGUAGAGAUCGGCAGGAGCACCCAGGGGGAAACCAGUCGACUGGGCAUCUACUGACGCUGAGGUGCGAGAGCGUGGGGAGCGAACCGG
RNAcentral lists this ribosomal RNA (253 nucleotides) under uncultured bacterium. RNAcentral describes it as "partial 16S ribosomal RNA". It matches the Rfam family "Bacterial small subunit ribosomal RNA", at positions 524 to 776 of the family's 1533-position model. The record is from RNAcentral.